GGUGUGCCAGAGCGGUCGAAUGGGGCGGUCUCGAAAACCGUUGAGCCGUUUUUCAAUUCUAAGGGUUCGAAUCUUUUCGAGCUCCU
RNAcentral lists this transfer RNA (86 nucleotides) under Fodinibius salsisoli. RNAcentral describes it as "tRNA-Ser". The stretch from base 4 to 78 matches the Rfam family "tRNA", at positions 7 to 64 of the family's 71-position model. Rfam says of the family: Transfer RNA (tRNA) molecules are approximately 80 nucleotides in length. Their secondary structure includes four short double-helical elements and three loops (D, anti-codon, and T loops). Further hydrogen bonds mediate the characteristic L-shaped molecular structure. tRNAs have two regions of fundamental functional importance: the anti-codon, which is responsible for specific mRNA codon recognition, and the 3' end, to which the tRNAs corresponding amino acid is attached (by aminoacyl-tRNA synthetases). tRNAs cope with the degeneracy of the genetic code in two manners: having more than one tRNA (with a specific anti-codon) for a particular amino acid; and 'wobble' base-pairing, i.e. permitting non-standard base-pairing at the 3rd anti-codon position. Lineage: Bacteria; Pseudomonadati; Balneolota; Balneolia; Balneolales; Balneolaceae. The record is from RNAcentral.